RNAcentral lists this ribosomal RNA (207 nucleotides) under uncultured bacterium. RNAcentral's name for it is "partial 16S ribosomal RNA". It matches the Rfam family "Bacterial small subunit ribosomal RNA", at positions 568 to 774 of the family's 1533-position model. The record is from RNAcentral.
UGCGUAGGCGGACCCGAACGCGUCCCGUGAAAUCCCCCGGCUCAACCGGGGAACUGCGGGGCGAACGGUGGGUCUCGAGGCAGGUAGGGGUCGCCGGAACCGUAGGUGGAGCGGUGAAAUGCGUAGAUAUCUACGGGAACGCCGAUGGUGAAGACGGGCGACUGGGCCUGUCCUGACGCUGAGGCACGAAAGCGUGGGGAGCAAACA